RNAcentral lists this ribosomal RNA (253 nucleotides) under uncultured bacterium. RNAcentral describes it as "partial 16S ribosomal RNA". It matches the Rfam family "Bacterial small subunit ribosomal RNA", at positions 524 to 776 of the family's 1533-position model. The record is from RNAcentral.
UACGGGGGGGGCAAGCGUUGUUCGGAAUUACUGGGCGUAAAGGGCUCGUAGGCGGCCAACUAAGUCGGAUGUGAAAUCCCCAGGCUUAACCUGGGAACUGCAUCCGAUACUGGAUGGCUUGAAUCCGGGAGAGGGAUGCAGAAUUCCAGGUGUAGCGGUGAAAUGCGUAGAGAUUAGGAAGAACACCAGUGGCGAAGGCGACUUACUGGACUGUAACUGACACUGAGGCAUGAAAGCGUGGGGAGCAAACAGG